AAAAAGCUCGUAGUUGGAUUUCGGUUAAGAGCGACCGGUCCGCCGUUUGGUGUGCACUGGUUGGUUUUAACUUCCUGUAGAGGACGUGCUCUGGGCUUAACGGUCUGGACUCGGAGUCUACGUGGUUACUUUGAAAAAAUUAGAGUGUUCAAAGCGGGCUUACGCUUGAAUAUUUCAGCAUGGAAUAACACUAUAGGACUCCUGUCCUAUUUCGUUGGUCUCGGGACGGGAGUAAUGAUUAAGAGGAACAGUUGGGGGCAUUCGUAUUUCAUUGUCAGAGGUGAAAUUCUUGGAUUUAUGAAAGACGAACUUCUGCGAAAGCAUUUGCCAAGGAUGUUUUCAUUAAUCAAGAACGAAAGUUGGGGGCUCGAAGAUGAUUAGAUACCAUCCUAGUCUCAACCAUAAACGAUGCCGACUAGGGAUUGGCGGAUGUUAAUUGAUGACUCCGCCAGCACCUUAUGAGAAAUCAAAGUUUUUGGGUUCCGGGGGGAGUAUGGUCGCAAGGC
Molecule: ribosomal RNA, 506 nt
Filed under: uncultured eukaryote
Lineage: Eukaryota
Description: SSU rRNA
Rfam family: Eukaryotic small subunit ribosomal RNA
Source: RNAcentral